CAGGCAUCUACGCCACUCGCUCUGGUGGGACCCUCGUGCUUGUGGGGCUGGGCUCUGAGAUGACCACCGUACCCCUACUGCAUGCAGCCAUCCGGGAGGUGGAUAUCAAGGGCGUGUUUCGAUACUGCAACACGUGAGUAUGCUGUGGGUGAGCCGGGAUGCCCAGCCUCCAGCAAGACCAUGGCAGGCCCCACUCAGCCUCUGGCCCAUGAGUCUCUGCCUGUUUGUUC
This 230-nucleotide long non-coding RNA is filed under the name Homo sapiens (human). Its description in RNAcentral is "non-protein coding lnc-PATL2-7:2". Lineage: Eukaryota; Metazoa; Chordata; Mammalia; Primates; Hominidae. The record is from RNAcentral.